UGAGGAAUAUUGGUCAAUGGCCGUGAGGCUGAACCAGCCAAGUAGCGUGCAGGAUGACGGCCCUAUGGGUUGUAAACUGCUUUUAUGCGGGGAUAAAGUUCGGGACGUGUCCCGUUUUGCAGGUACCGCAUGAAUAAGGACCGGCUAAUUCCGUGCCAGCAGCCGCGGUAAUACGGAAGGUCCGGGCGUUAUCCGGAUUUAUUGGGUUUAAAGGGAGCGUAGGCUGGGGAUUAAGCGUGUUGUGAAAUGCCGCGGCUCAACCGUGGCACUGCAGCGCGAACUGGUUCUCUUGAGUGCGCUGAAAGUGGGCGGAAUUUGUGGUGUAGCGGUGAAAUGCUUAGAUAUCACGAGGAACUCCGAUUGCGAAGGCAGCUCACUGUAUCGCGACUGACGCUGAAGCUCGAAAGUGCGGGUAUCGAACAGG
Molecule: ribosomal RNA, 424 nt
Filed under: uncultured bacterium
Lineage: Bacteria
Description: bacterial SSU rRNA
Rfam family: Bacterial small subunit ribosomal RNA
Source: RNAcentral